GAUGAACGCUGGCGGCGUGCCUAAUACAUGCAGGUCGAGCGAACAGAUGAGGAGCUUGCUCCUCUGACGUUAGCGGCGGACGGGUGAGUAACACGUGGAUAACCUACCUAUAAGACUGGGAUAACUACGGGAAACCGGAGCUAAUACCGGAUAAUAUAUUGAACCGCAUGGUUCAAUAGUGAAAGACGGUUUUGCUGUCACUUAUAGAUGGAUCCGCGCCGCAUUAGCUAGUUGGUAAGGUAACGGCUUACCAAGGCAACGAUGCGUAGCCGACCUGAGAGGGUGAUCGGCCACACUGGAACUGAGACACGGUCCAGACUCCUACGGGAGGCAGCAGUAGGGAAUCUUCCGCAAUGGGCGAAAGCCUGACGGAGCAACGCCGCGUGAGUGAUGAAGGUCUUCGGAUCGUAAAACUCUGUUAUUAGGGAAGAACAAAUGUGUAAGUAACUAUGCACGUCUUGACGGUACCUAAUCAGAAAGCCACGGCUAACUACGUG
This 497-nucleotide ribosomal RNA is filed under the name uncultured bacterium. Its description in RNAcentral is "partial 16S ribosomal RNA". It matches the Rfam family "Bacterial small subunit ribosomal RNA", at positions 28 to 507 of the family's 1533-position model. The record is from RNAcentral.